This is a long non-coding RNA of Sphaerodactylus townsendi, 190 nucleotides long. RefSeq lists it as uncharacterized. The transcript is spliced from 3 exons. The record is from RefSeq and is a predicted model, not a curated record. Lineage: Eukaryota; Metazoa; Chordata; Lepidosauria; Squamata; Sphaerodactylidae.
UUCUAAAGUGCUGCAGAAUCAAAGGCCAAGGGCAUGUUAGGUUCAUGGAGUAUGGACUCCACCCAGACAUAAGGUUUUCAUUCACUAAGACUGUUGCUGCUGCAGGGAAUGCAAAUGUGAAUCAUGCCCUGGACUGAAAAAUCACACCUGCAAUACCAUACUAUCAACCACACAUUUGCAUAGCAAGUUA